Molecule: ribosomal RNA, 428 nt
Filed under: uncultured bacterium
Lineage: Bacteria
Description: bacterial SSU rRNA
Rfam family: Bacterial small subunit ribosomal RNA
Source: RNAcentral
UGGGGAAUCUUGCACAAUGCGCGAAAGCGUGAUGCAGCAACGCCGCGUGGGGGAAGAAGGCCUUCGGGUUGUAAACCCCUUUCAGUUGGGACGAAGCUUCGUCGGUGAAUAGCCGGCCGGAGUGACGGUACCUUCAGAAGAAGCCCCGGCUAACUACGUGCCAGCAGCCGCGGUAAUACGUAGGGGGCAAGCGUUGUCCGGAAUCAUUGGGCGUAAAGCGCGUGUAGGCGGUUCGGUAAGUCUGCUGUGAAAGUCCAGGGCUCAACCCUGGGAUGCCGGUGGAUACUGUCGAACUAGAGUACGGAAGAGGCGAGUGGAAUUCCCGGUGUAGCGGUGAAAUGCGCAGAUAUCGGGAGGAACACCAAUUGCGAAGGCAGCUCGCUGGGACGUCACUGACGCUGAGACGCGAAAGCGUGGGGAGCAAACAG